CAGUAGCCGCGGUAAUACGUAGGUGGCGAGCGUUGUCCGGAAUCAUUGGGCGUAAAGGGAGCGCAGGCGGGCAUGUAAGUCUUUCUUAAAAGUGCGGGGCUCAACCCCGUGAUGGGAAAGAAACUACAUGUCUUGAGUACAGGAGAGGAAAGCGGAAUUCCCAGUGUAGCGGUGAAAUGCGUAGAUAUUGGGAGGAACACCAGUGGCGAAGGCGGCUUUCUGGACUGCAACUGACGCUGAGGCUCGAAAGCCAGGGGAGCGAACGGGAUUAGAGACCCCGGUAGUCCCUGUCUAUUAUACA
Molecule: ribosomal RNA, 301 nt
Filed under: uncultured bacterium
Lineage: Bacteria
Description: partial 16S ribosomal RNA
Rfam family: Bacterial small subunit ribosomal RNA
Source: RNAcentral